GCAAUGCGCUUGUCUGAAAAUAUUUGGUUUUGACCAGGUGGCGCAUGCAGCGAAACGUUUCUGCUAUUUAAUGUCUGAGAUAUAACUCCGAGACGUGAUUGAUGGGUCUGCACGGCUGCGCUCACAGCUUCUCGUUUUUUCACGAGUCGAAUGAGUGGACCGGUGAACGGUCCACUUUCCUCUGGAAACCUUUCCCGCAAAGGUCACAGCCGAAGGGCUUGAAGCCCGUGUGUUUCCUGCUGUGUGUGAUGAGGUUGGAGCUCUGACUGAAGGCCUUCCCGCACACCUGGCACUUGUGCGGCUUCUCACCUGCAAGCAGGAACAAAAAAAAUGGAAAAUAUGCUAAUGGGUGACUGGGACUCCCUGUGGCUCUGGAGGUGGUGGUGAUAAGACCCCUGAACCAGAUGUCUCAGCUCGGUUCCUGAGUAUGCCGACCAGGAGUACGGAAAGAUUGGCAUGUUCGAG
This is a long non-coding RNA of Oreochromis niloticus (Nile tilapia), 465 nucleotides long. RefSeq lists it as uncharacterized. Lineage: Eukaryota; Metazoa; Chordata; Actinopteri; Cichliformes; Cichlidae. The transcript is spliced from 3 exons. The record is from RefSeq and is a predicted model, not a curated record.